GAGUUUGAUCUUGGCUCAGAUUGAACGCUGGCGGCAUGCCUUACACAUGCAAGUCGAACGGCAGCAUGAUCUAGCUUGCUAGAUUGAUGGCGAGUGGCGAACGGGUGAUUAAUACAUCGGAACGUGCCCUGUAGUGGGGAUAACUAGUCGAAAGAUUAGCUAAUACCGCAUACGACCUGAGGGUGAAAGUGGGGGACCGCAAGGCCUCAUGCUAUAGGAGCGGCCGAUGUCUGAUUAGCUAGUUGGUGGGGUAAAGGCCCACCAAGGCGACGAUCAGUAGCUGGUCUGAGAGGACGAUCAGCCACACUGGGACUGAGACACGGCCCAGACUCCUACGGGAGGCAGCAGUGGGGAAUUUUGGACAAUGGGCGAAAGCCUGAUCCAGCAAUGCCGCGUGUGUGAAGAAGGCCU
Molecule: ribosomal RNA, 411 nt
Filed under: uncultured microorganism
Description: bacterial SSU rRNA
Rfam family: Bacterial small subunit ribosomal RNA
Source: RNAcentral